RNAcentral lists this ribosomal RNA (266 nucleotides) under uncultured bacterium. RNAcentral describes it as "partial 16S ribosomal RNA". It matches the Rfam family "Bacterial small subunit ribosomal RNA", at positions 793 to 1055 of the family's 1533-position model. The record is from RNAcentral.
GUCCUAGCCGUAAACGAUGGACACUAGGUGUUGGUGGUAUCAACCCCACCAGUGCCGAAGCUAACGCAUUAAGUGUCCCGCCUGGGGAGUACGGCCGCAAGGCUAAAACUCAAAGGAAUUGACGGGGCCCCGCACAAGCAGCGGAGCGUGGGGUUUAAUUCGAUGCAACGCGAAGAACCUUACCAGGGCUUGACAUGACCAGGAAUCCGGCGGAAACGUCGGCGCCCCGCAAGGGGGCCUGGCCACAGGUGUUGCAUGGCUGUCGU